AUGCUCACUUCAGCAGCACAUAUACUAAAAUUGGAAAGAUACAGAGAAGAUUAGCAUGGCCCCUGUGCAAUGAUAUGCAAAUUUGUGAAGCGUUCCAUAUUUUA
Molecule: small nuclear RNA, 104 nt
Filed under: Jaculus jaculus (lesser Egyptian jerboa)
Lineage: Eukaryota; Metazoa; Chordata; Mammalia; Rodentia; Dipodidae
Source: RNAcentral